GGCUGGGUAGCUCAGUGGAUUGAGAGCCAAGCCUAGAGGUGGGAGGUCUUGGUUCGAAUCCGGCCUCAGCCA
Transfer RNA from Monodelphis domestica (gray short-tailed opossum), 72 nucleotides. It matches the Rfam family "tRNA". Rfam says of the family: Transfer RNA (tRNA) molecules are approximately 80 nucleotides in length. NCBI's taxonomy places the organism in Eukaryota, Metazoa, Chordata, Mammalia, Didelphimorphia, Didelphidae. The record is from Rfam.